AGAGUUUGAUCCUGGCUCAGAAUCAACGCUGGCGGCGUGCCUAACACAUGCAAGUCGAGCGAGAAAAGGGGGGCAACUCCCUGAGUAAAGCGGCGCACGGGUGAGUAACACGUGGGUAAUCUGCCCUGAAGUGGGGAAUAACACCGGGAAACCGGUGCUAAUACCGCAUACGAUCACGGAGUCUGCGGAUUUUGUGAUGAAAGGAGCAAUUCGCUUUAGGAGGAGCCCGCGGCUGAUUAGCUAGUUGGUGAGGUAAUGGCUCACCAAGGCUACGAUCAGUAUCCGGUCUGAGAGGACGGUCGGACACACUGGAACUGAGACACGGUCCAGACUCCUACGGGAGGCAGCAGUGGGGAAUUUUUCGCAAUGGGGGCAACCCUGACGAAGCAACGCCGCGUGGGUGAUGAAGUCUCUUGGGACGUAAAACCCUUUCGACGGGGAAGAAACCGCAAGGUUGACGGUACCCGUAGAAGAAGCCCCGGCUAACUCCGUGCCAGCAGCCGCGGUAAUACGGGGGGGGCAAGCGUUGUUCGGAAUUACUGGGCGUAAAGGGUGCGUAGGCGGUUCGUUAAGUUAGAUGUGAAAACUCUGGGCUC
Molecule: ribosomal RNA, 596 nt
Filed under: uncultured bacterium
Lineage: Bacteria
Description: bacterial SSU rRNA
Rfam family: Bacterial small subunit ribosomal RNA
Source: RNAcentral